Molecule: ribosomal RNA, 801 nt
Filed under: uncultured bacterium
Lineage: Bacteria
Description: bacterial SSU rRNA
Rfam family: Bacterial small subunit ribosomal RNA
Source: RNAcentral
GGGUCCUUCGGGACCUGAGUAAAGCGGCGCACGGGUGCGGAACACGUAGGUAAUCUACCCUCCGGCGGGGGAUAACGUUUCGAAAGGAACGCUAAUACCGCGUAAGACCACAGUGUCCACGGGCACAGUGGGAAAAGGUGGCCUCUCCAUGGAAGCUAUCGCCAGAGGAUGAGCCUGCGGCCCAUCAGCUUGUUGGUAGGGUAACGGCCUACCAAGGCGAAGACGGGUAGCUGGUCUGAGAGGAUGAUCAGCCACACUGGCACUGGAACACGGGCCAGACUCCUACGGGAGGCAGCAGUGGGGAAUAUUGGACAAUGGGCGAAAGCCUGAUCCAGCGACGCCGCGUGAGUGAUGAAGGCCUUCGGGUUGUAAAGCUCUGUGGGGAAGGACGAAAAAGGUAGGGAACAAUACCCCUGCCCUUGACGGUACUUCCUUAGCAAGCACCGGCUAACUCUGUGCCAGCAGCCGCGGUAAGACAGAGGGUGCGAACGUUGCUCGGAAUUACUGGGCGUAAAGCGCGUGUAGGCUGACCAUAAAGUCGGGUGUGAAAUCCCUGGGCUCAACCUAGGAACUGCAUCCGAAACUGCUGGUCUAGAGUGCUGGAGAGGGAAGCGGAAUUCCUGGUGUAGAGGUGAAAUUCGUAGAUAUCAGGAGGAACACCGGUGGCGAAGGCGGCUUCCUGGACAGUGACUGACGCUGAGACGCGAAAGCGUGGGGAGCAAACAGGAUUAGAUACCCUGGUAGUCCACGCCGUAAACGAUGGGUGCUAGGUGUCGCGGGUUUUGACCCCUGCGGUGCCGU